RNAcentral lists this ribosomal RNA (475 nucleotides) under uncultured bacterium. Its description in RNAcentral is "bacterial SSU rRNA". It matches the Rfam family "Bacterial small subunit ribosomal RNA", at positions 37 to 507 of the family's 1533-position model. The record is from RNAcentral.
UGGCGGCGUGGAUAAGACAUGCAAGUCGAACGGGAAUUUUAGAGCUUGCUUUGAAAAUUUCUAGUGGCGGACGGGUGAGUAACACGUGAGCAACCUGCCCUGAAGUGGGGAAUAGCCCGGGGAAACUCGGAUUAAUACCGCAUGUGAUCGUAAGAUUAAAGGUGGCGUAAGCUGCCGCUUCAGGAUGGGCUCGCGGCCUAUCAGCUUGUUGGUGAGGUAACGGCUCACCAAGGCGACGACGGGUAGCUGGUCUGAGAGGAUGAUCAGUCACACUGGAACUGAGACACGGUCCAGACACCUACGGGUGGCAGCAGUCGAGAAUCAUUCGCAAUGGGCGAAAGCCUGACGGUGCGACGCCGCGUGGAGGAUGAAGGCCCUCGGGUCGUAAACUCCUGUCAUCAGGGAGUAAGGCUUUAUGGAGUAACUGCCAUAAAGAUUGAUAGUACCUGAAGAGGAAGGGACGGCCAACUUCGUG